AUCUAAUGUUUCUCAGCAAGGGAAUCCAUACAUAGUAUCACCAACUGUAUAAAGAUUUUGGAAACUGAAUGCAUUAUAUCAGUAUCAUGGAUGACUUGGAAACCUGAAUGUAGAUCCCAGUAUUCCUAGAUAUUCACUCUUAGGCUUCUGGUCUGUAAAACAUCCAUAUUUUAACAACUUCUCCUACACAUAUACAACUGAUUUUCCAAAUAGACACAAAAGUAGCUGGAUAAAUAUAUAAGGUCAGAAUUCUGCCCUUGCUAUCACUAUAUAUAUAUAUAUGUAGAAUUAUAGAGUCACAGAAACAUUAAGGUUGGAAAAGACCUCCAAGGUCAUCUGGUCCAACCAUCCCCCUACCACCACAUCCAGCCUUUCCUUAAUCACCCCCAGGACUGGUGACUCCACCAACCCCCUGGGCAACCUGUUCCAAUGCCUAAUCAUUCUUUCUGAGAAGAAAUUUCUCCUAAUAUAUCUAUUUAUUUAUUUAUUUAUUUUUCUGCAGGAUGGACACUUGUCAGAACUGAAAUGCAAUUGGCAUUUUUUGAAUCACGUUAAUCUACCACAUUGGGGUGGAAAACCCAAACACCUGGUUAAGACACCUAACUUCUAUUUGCUCAUAGCCCAACCUGAUCAGGAUGUUGACCAGUUGUUUUGGAUGACAGCAGAGCUGUAAGCACCGUCAUAGACACACACAUGUUCUGUUAUCCAGGCUACGUUGCCAGGAUGCAUUUUUGUCUUUUAAGGUACAGGAUUUCUCUAUUUUACUUUAGUGAUUUAUAGCUUUGUGUUGUUUGGGUAGGUUGAGUGGAUGGUCAUUGUUCAGAGCAGAUCUGUGGUGUGAGCAGAAAGGACACACCAGAAUGCAGAUUAAUAUGAAAAACAACUCUCUUGAGGAGGGGAAGACAAAAUGAACAUAACUCAAGUUCAGGAAGCAGGGAAACUGUGUGAAGAAACACAUUUUCUUUGUUAUUAAUCUAAUCAGAAUCUUUAAUAUUUUUUAUGUAAAAAUCCAGGUAGGCAGUAGAAAUCAAACAGGUUCCUCUUCUUUUCAGAUGUUUUAAUGAAAUUUCCACUUUCAGUAACCUCAGGAGUUUUGAAUUAAUGUUAGUCAAAUUCAGGUCAUGUAGCCAACCCCUGUUUUCCUUUACUGAUUCUCCUCUCUGGCCACACAUUUAUUGUUCCAUAAGCAGGGCAGUGCUUGAACUUCAUGCUACAAAUCAAAGACAGAUCUAACUAUAAACAAUGCAAUUCAUACUAUACCAAUGGUAUAGUAUUUUUGGUAUGAUAUAGUAUGGCUUUCUGGAGGGAAAACUCUAAAGUCUUAUAUUGUAUUUUGGCAUUUGUAUUCACUGGUAGCCUGAACUUGUUUAUUUAGAUUUUUUUUUUCAGCAACAAAUCCACAUUGCUGUUGUAUCCUAUAACUUUAUACAGAUUUGCACUGGAAUAUUUUAGAAUCUUAGAAUAUUUGAGCUGGAAGGCACCCACAAGAAUCAUCAAGCCCAACUCCUGGGUUCCACAUAGGAACCCAGAAGCUGGACAAACCUUCCUACCCCCUUCCCCCCCAAAACAAACAAACAAACAAAACAAAAGAAAAGAAAACAAAACAAAUCACGUCUGAAAGCACUGUCCAAAUGCUGCUUGAAUUCUGGCAGUUUGGUGCUGUGACUACUGCC
This 1673-nucleotide long non-coding RNA is filed under the name Anas platyrhynchos platyrhynchos (common mallard). RNAcentral's name for it is "lncRNA (ENSAPLG00000019871.1)". Lineage: Eukaryota; Metazoa; Chordata; Aves; Anseriformes; Anatidae. The record is from RNAcentral.